GCGUCUUCAUCGCUCGACCUGCCGGCAAC
This 29-nucleotide small RNA is filed under the name Bombyx mori (domestic silkworm). Its description in RNAcentral is "ovarian small RNA-17011". Lineage: Eukaryota; Metazoa; Arthropoda; Insecta; Lepidoptera; Bombycidae. The record is from RNAcentral.